GAGCAAUGAUGAGUUUAAUUUGCCUGACUGCAAAAAAUGAAGGCUUCUACACUUGAACUGAGCUCA
This is a small nucleolar RNA of Numida meleagris (helmeted guineafowl), 66 nucleotides long. The record is from Ensembl. Lineage: Eukaryota; Metazoa; Chordata; Aves; Galliformes; Numididae.